This 1729-nucleotide ribosomal RNA is filed under the name Shigella sonnei. RNAcentral's name for it is "partial 23S ribosomal RNA". It matches the Rfam family "Bacterial large subunit ribosomal RNA", at positions 474 to 2188 of the family's 2925-position model. Lineage: Bacteria; Pseudomonadati; Pseudomonadota; Gammaproteobacteria; Enterobacterales; Enterobacteriaceae. The record is from RNAcentral.
UCCUGACUGACCGAUAGUGAACCAGUACCGUGAGGGAAAGGCGAAAAGAACCCCGGCGAGGGGAGUGAAAAAGAACCUGAAACCGUGUACGUACAAGCAGUGGGAGCACGCUUAGGCGUGUGACUGCGUACCUUUUGUAUAAUGGGUCAGCGACUUAUAUUCUGUAGCAAGGUUAACCGAAUAGGGGAGCCGAAGGGAAACCGAGUCUUAACUGGGCGUUAAGUUGCAGGGUAUAGACCCGAAACCCGGUGAUCUAGCCAUGGGCAGGUUGAAGGUUGGGUAACACUAACUGGAGGACCGAACCGACUAAUGUUGAAAAAUUAGCGGAUGACUUGUGGCUGGGGGUGAAAGGCCAAUCAAACCGGGAGAUAGCUGGUUCUCCCCGAAAGCUAUUUAGGUAGCGCCUCGUGAAUUCAUCUCCGGGGGUAGAGCACUGUUUCGGCAAGGGGGUCAUCCCGACUUACCAACCCGAUGCAAACUGCGAAUACCGGAGAAUGUUAUCACGGGAGACACACGGCGGGUGCUAACGUCCGUCGUGAAGAGGGAAACAACCCAGACCGCCAGCUAAGGUCCCAAAGUCAUGGUUAAGUGGGAAACGAUGUGGGAAGGCCCAGACAGCCAGGAUGUUGGCUUAGAAGCAGCCAUCAUUUAAAGAAAGCGUAAUAGCUCACUGGUCGAGUCGGCCUGCGCGGAAGAUGUAACGGGGCUAAACCAUGCACCGAAGCUGCGGCAGCGAUGCUUAUGCGUUGUUGGGUAGGGGAGCGUUCUGUAAGCCUGCGAAGGUGUGCUGUGAGGCAUGCUGGAGGUAUCAGAAGUGCGAAUGCUGACAUAAGUAACGAUAAAGCGGGUGAAAAGCCCGCUCGCCGGAAGACCAAGGGUUCCUGUCCAACGUUAAUCGGGGCAGGGUGAGUCGACCCCUAAGGCGAGGCCGAAAGGCGUAGUCGAUGGGAAACAGGUUAAUAUUCCUGUACUUGGUGUUACUGCGAAGGGGGGACGGAGAAGGCUAUGUUGGCCGGGCGACGGUUGUCCCGGUUUAAGCGUGUAGGCUGGUUUUCCAGGCAAAUCCGGAAAAUCAAGGCUGAGGCGUGAUGACGAGGCACUACGGUGCUGAAGCAACAAAUGCCCUGCUUCCAGGAAAAGCCUCUAAGCAUCAGGUAACAUCAAAUCGUACCCCAAACCGACACAGGUGGUCAGGUAGAGAAUACCAAGGCGCUUGAGAGAACUCGGGUGAAGGAACUAGGCAAAAUGGUGCCGUAACUUCGGGAGAAGGCACGCUGAUAUGUAGGUGAAGUCCCUUGCGGAUGGAGCUGAAAUCAGUCGAAGAUACCAGCUGGCUGCAACUGUUUAUUAAAAACACAGCACUGUGCAAACACGAAAGUGGACGUAUACGGUGUGACGCCUGCCCGGUGCCGGAAGGUUAAUUGAUGGGGUCAGCGCAAGCGAAGCUCUUGAUCGAAGCCCCGGUAAACGGCGGCCGUAACUAUAACGGUCCUAAGGUAGCGAAAUUCCUUGUCGGGUAAGUUCCGACCUGCACGAAUGGCGUAAUGAUGGCCAGGCUGUCUCCACCCGAGACUCAGUGAAAUUGAACUCGCUGUGAAGAUGCAGUGUACCCGCGGCAAGACGGAAAGACCCCGUGAACCUUUACUAUAGCUUGACACUGAACAUUGAGCCUUGAUGUGUAGGAUAGGUGGGAGGCUUUGAAGUGUGGACGCCAGUCUGCAUGGAGCCG